RNA transcript from Capsicum annuum, 4035 nucleotides. It is a transcript of the gene named PH, RCC1 and FYVE domains-containing protein 1, with no coding region annotated. The transcript has 13 exons. The record is from RefSeq and is a predicted model, not a curated record. NCBI's taxonomy places the organism in Eukaryota, Viridiplantae, Streptophyta, Magnoliopsida, Solanales, Solanaceae.
AUGGGUGAAGAACACUUGACCAUUGAUCCUUCUGAUCGAGCUGUUGAACAGGCAAUAGUUGCAUUGAAGAAGGGGGCACAUCUUUUAAAGUAUGGCAGAAGAGGGAAGCCCAAAUUCUACCCUCUAAGAUUAUCCGCGGAUGAAAAGUUUUUGAUUUGGUACUCUGGUGAGAAGGAAAACCAACUGAGGUUAAGUUCAAUCACAAAUGUCAUCCGCGGCCAAAAUACUGUUAUCCUUCAGCCUGAAAUGGAAAGUCAGUGCAUAUCACUUACAUAUGGAAGUAGUGACCGCACUCUUGAUCUGAUUUGCAAGGACAAAAUGCAGGCUGAUACUUGGUUUGUAGGCUUGAGAGCUGUAAUAUCCAUGACCCACCAUCACAGAAUGGUGGACCCUCUGAAAAGCAAAAGAGGCACACACAGUUGCAUCAGUAGUCCAGCGGGUUAUAUGCGGAGGAAACAAAAUCUUGGACUUUCAGCAAAGACAAUCAGACCUCAGGUUCGCAGCGUAGCGGGGAGCCCUACUCAGUCAUUUUCAGAAAGUUGUUUUACUGAUGGCUUAUCAUGUUCUUCCGAAAGCUUUUUCUCGGAAUCAAGCCUUUGGAGUGUGCAUAAUGUAACAGAUAAUGUCACGUCGUGUUCGUCAUAUUUUGAACGAGAUAACUUAAGCCAGAAUAGAGCCUCUUGUACUGGGACUGAAAUCCAAACUGACAUGCUUGCUCCACUUUCAUCAUCCAGUAGUGAGUCAAGACCAUUUGGAAAGAAUGUACUGCGGGAUGUUUUUAUCUGGGGAGAAGGAGCAGAAGGGGGAUGCUUGGGGGAUGGAGAAGUGAAGUUGGAUGCCUUGUCACCAAAAGUCCUCGAGUCCACUAUGAUGCUUGAUGUACAAGCAAUAUCCAUUGGUAGAAGUCAUGCGUCCUUAGUCACCAAACAAGGUGAAGUUUUUUGCUGGGGUGAAGGAAAGAAUGGACGGCUUGGGCAUAAACAUGAUAUGGACACUGCACGACCAAAAUUGGUUGACUCUCUUUACGGGGUUCAUGUAAAAUCUGUCACUUGUGGGGAAUACCAAACAUGUGCCGUGACCUCUUCCGGUGAACUGUACACAUGGGGCGACAACUCUUUUGGUGCUGAGUUAGUAGGUGAAGAAAAGAAGAGAAGCCAUUGGCUACCAAAAAGAAUAUGUGGUGCUCUGGAUGGUGUAAAAAUUUCUUAUGUUGCUUGUGCGGAAUGGCACACAGCAGUCGUUUCAACAUCUGGACAAUUGUUUACUUAUGGAGAUGGAACUUUUGGGGUUCUUGGUCAUGGGAAUCUCCAAAGUGUUGCUCAGCCCAGAGAAGUUGAGUCGCUUAGAGGUUUGCGGGUCAAAUGUGUUGCAUGUGGGCCAUGGCAUACAGCUGCAGUAGUGGAAAUCAUUAUUGACCGUCUUAAAUUCAACAAUCCAGGUGGGAAGCUGUUUACUUGGGGUGACGGAGACAAAGGAAGACUUGGUCAUCCUGGUGAGGAGACAAAGCUUUUACCGAACUGCGUGGCAAAACUUGUUGAUCAUGAUUUCAUUCAAGUUUCUUGUGCAAGCACCCUAACCAUUGCACUAUCUAGCACAGGAAAAGUUUAUACGAUGGGAAGUGCAGUGCAUGGGCAGUUAGGCAAUCCAGAUGCCAAAGAUAAAUCGCCAGUGCUUGUGCAAGGAAAACUUAGAGAAGAGUUUGUAACAGAGAUAUCCUCGGGAUCGUAUCAUGUUGCUGUGCUAACAUCAAGGGGAAGUGUUUACACAUGGGGGAAAGGUGCAAAUGGACAGUUAGGAUUAGGAGAUACAAAAGAGAGAAAUUUGCCAACUUUAGUUGAAUCACUGAGAGAUAGACAGGUGGAACAUAUCGCUUGUGGGUCAAGUACUACAGCAGCCAUAUGUUUGCACAAAUCUGCCUCUAGUACUGAUCAAUCAGUUUGCAGAGGAUGUGGCAUGUCUUUCGGAAUUACAAGGAAGAAGCAAAACUGCUACAAUUGCGGCCUUCUCUUCUGCCGCACAUGCUGCAGCAAGAAAACCACAAAUGCCUCUCUUGCCCCUGACAAGACUAAAGCUUUUCGGGUGUGCGGUCCAUGUUUUCUCCUACUUCAGAGGAUUGCUCAGUCAAGCAGGACAUCCACGCUUGAAAAUCAUAGUCCAAGACCCUUACCAAUUGCCCAUAAGGCAGUUACCCGCGAGAAAGUAGAGCGUGAAGAGGCAAAUACUACAUCAAGUCGAAUGGUGUCGACAAAAAAUUAUGCAACUGAGAACAAUCAAUGCUUUGACAGGAGAGGUGUCAACAAUCUAGGGGAGAGUAGGCAGUUCUCUGAUCCUGUUACAUCCUUGCUGGAUAGUUUUCCAAGAUGGGGCCAAGUUCCUUGUCCUGAAUUCUUUAGAAGAGACUAUGGACAGAUGAGAACCCAAAAUCAUCAUCCGAGGAAUUCGCUGGCUUCAGCUUCUCCAACUUAUUUGCAGCAGAUUCCCGUAGAACCAAAAGUUGUCCCCCCUACUGGUCUAACUAUGGAGGAAGACUUGCCAAAAUCAGACAAGAUCCUGUUCAAAGAAGUUUGCAAGCUAAGAACUCAGGUUGAAAGUCUUAAAAGAUUAUGUGAAACAAGAAAGGAGAAAAUUCAAGAGAGUCAACAAAAAGUUGAAGAAGCCUGGUCAGUAGCUAAAGAGGAAGCUUCCAAGAGUAAAGCAGCAAAAGAAGUUAUAAAAGCUUUGACAUCAAGGCUUCAGGCAAUGUCGGGGAACUUUUUUGCUGGAACAGAAACUAAUGUUCAAGCUAUAUCAAAUGUACUGCAGAUGACAUCAACAUAUUCAGAUAGUCAUAAUAAUAUAAAUGGACACCGAAUUGUUGUGCCUACAUGUGUGCCUCUUGCAAACACACAACUAGAGGACAAAAACAUUGAUAGCCUAUGUGGCUCUCCGAUUGUAUUCUCUAGUACUUUAAGAUCCUUCUACAACAAAGAAAACAAUGUGGACUCCAAAUCAGCAGAAGAAUCUCGUAAAGAAGCUGAUCAUGGCCAAGCCGAGCUCAGAACAUCAAAAGUUGAAUGGGUGGAGCAGUAUCAGCUCGGUGUCUUCAUUACAUUGACAGUGCUGCCAAGUGGAAAGAAAGGACUCAACCACUGCUUUGACAAUGUCAUAAAGCCCCAUUUUUGUUUUAUGACACCUGAGCCACUUGCACAAAGAUAUGUUUAUCACUCUAUUGGAGAGAAGUGGGCUGCAAUUAGGAAGGGGAGUGUUCAACGACCCACUGAAAAGAAAAGAUAAGAUUAUGGAUAAUGUUCCAAUAGGUAUUGCUCGGGAUCAAGGACUUCUUCCAUGAACUACUGUGCUAAAGAAGAAACUCAGAAUAUGUGUAAAAGAAAUGCUGAAAAAUCUGAAUAAGCAACCAUUCCUCACAGCCGGUGGUUCCAAACCUAAUUCUAGAAGGAGGACUGAAAUGGUGAAAGAUACAGCUGUGAUGGGGAUAAAGCCCGGACGAGUACAACUGUAUCUUAUACGCAUAAGAAACAAGGAUCAUAUGUGAGUGAGGAGGCAAGAGAAAUAUGUUAAGUUGAGCAAACAUUGGGUCGAACUACUAUGGUUGAGUCUGAAAUUUCUACAAAUGAUGCGACUGGUGGAGUGCUAGGAAAAGAGCGUCCUGGAAGGGUAAGAUGUUGGGAUAAAGUGCUGAACAGACACAUCUCCACGUCAAGUAAUGAUGUUACAUGUUCUUCACACUGCCAACAGAAGUACAACCAGUUGUUGAAUAUUCUCAAAGCAUACAUGAUAAUGACGAUAAUGAAGGAAGGGACAAUACCUGAACAAUGUUGUGAUCUUUACUUCUCCUACAACAGUGAACACUAGAGAUUUUUUGUUUUUAGGCUAAUGAUGCUUUUUUGAUUUUCUCCUUCACUUGUAAAAGAACUACAUCUACAAUAUGACAAUUUUAUAUGUCCGACAAGAAUUAAGAAGGAUUGGUCAGACAAAAUAUGAAGCGAACACUGAACCUUGAUAUACCUAGAACAAUAUAUUUUUGUUACCACGAAA